AUACGGAGGGUGCAAGCGUUGUUCGGAUUUAUUGGGCGUAAAGCGAGUGUAGGCGGUUUGACAAGUCGAAUGUGAAAUCCCGAGGCCCAACCUCGGAACUGCAUCCGAAACUGUCAGGCUAGAGUUCCGGAGAGGGUGGCGGAAUUCCCGGUGUAGGGGUGAAAUCCGUAGAUAUCGGGAGGAACACCAGUGGCGAAGGCGGCCACCUGGACGGUGACUGACGCUGAGACUCGAAAGCGUGGGUAGCAAACAGGAUUAGAUACCCGAGUAGUCC
Molecule: ribosomal RNA, 274 nt
Filed under: uncultured bacterium
Lineage: Bacteria
Description: partial 16S ribosomal RNA
Rfam family: Bacterial small subunit ribosomal RNA
Source: RNAcentral